This 646-nucleotide ribosomal RNA is filed under the name uncultured bacterium. RNAcentral's name for it is "bacterial SSU rRNA". It matches the Rfam family "Bacterial small subunit ribosomal RNA", at positions 8 to 651 of the family's 1533-position model. The record is from RNAcentral.
AGAGUUUGAUCCUGGCUCAGACCGAACGCUGGCGGCAUGCCUUACACGUGCAAGUCGAACGGUAACGCGGGGCAACCUGGCGACGAGUGGCGAACGGGUGAGUAAUAUAUCGGAACGUGCCCAGUAGUGGGGGAUAGCCCGGCGAAAGCCGGAUUAAUACCGCAUACGACCUAAGGGUGAAAGGGGGGGAUCGCAAGACCUCUCGCUAUUGGAGCGGCCGAUAUCAGAUUAGGUAGUUGGUGGGGUAAAAGCCCACCAAGCCGGCGAUCAGUAGCUGGUCUGAGAGGACGACCAGCCACACUGGGACUGAGACACGGCCCAGACUCCUACGGGAGGCAGCAGUGGGGAAUUUUGGACAAUGGGCGCAAGCCUGAUCCAGCCAUGCCGCGUGCGGGAAGAAGGCCUUCGGGUUGUAAACCGCUUUUGUCAGGGAAGAAAUCCCUUGGGAUAAUACCUCGGGGGGAUGACGGUACCUGAAGAAUAAGCACCGGCUAACUACGUGCCAGCAGCCGCGGUAAUACGUAGGGUGCAAGCGUUAAUCGGAAUUACUGGGCGUAAAGCGUGCGCAGGCGGUUGUGCAAGACAGAUGUGAAAUCUCCGGGCUCAACCUGGGAACUGCAUUUGUGACUGCACAGCUAGAGUACGG